This 371-nucleotide long non-coding RNA is filed under the name Rattus norvegicus (Norway rat). RNAcentral's name for it is "long non-coding RNA NONRATT021869". The record is from RNAcentral. Lineage: Eukaryota; Metazoa; Chordata; Mammalia; Rodentia; Muridae.
GCUCCUCUGCAAACUCCGGCCCCGGGGGUGGGGACCGCCUCAGCUACACGCUCGGGCCCCGAAGCCGUCGCCGCGGCUGGAAGACUUGGCCCCCCGCGUGGACUUGGUGCAGCCGGCCGAGCGCUCCCACCCCGCCUCCUGAACCCUGGGACCGGUCCAACGGGCGCUCCUCCAAGCCGAGCCUUGGAGGGCAAGGCCGGCAUCAUUACCUCCAACGAGUGGAGCUCUCCGGACUCCCCCGAGGGGAGCAGCAUCUCUGGGGGCAGCCAGGCCCUGGACAAGCCCAUCGACAAUGAUGCAGAGGGUGUGUGGAGCCCGGAUAUUGAGCAAAGCUUCCAGGAGGCACUGGCUAUUUACCCACCAUGCGGCCG